UGAUUUUAGGUGACAAAAAUCAGUUUAACAGUGGGUUUUGUAUUUUUAGCUAGUCACUUGUGAGUGUGUGUGUGUUUUCAAAGUGUAGGCUUAAAUGGCAUGCAAUGUGGCAUUGGUGGGUUUUGGAUCCCUGAAGGAACUUGGUACUUCUUGAAUGGCUUCUCUUGUCAUGUUCCUCUCUUUUAAUAGGGUAACUUGCAUUGUUCUUUGCAUAAUUUACUAAGAAAGUAGGGUUGUAGACAAAUCGAGGAUCGAUAAGAAUGAGAUAUCUUCAAUAUAAAUCUAAUUUGUUUUUUCUGACAAGUUUUUUAUUUCAUUAUAAACGUGAGUUUCUAUUUUUACCAGAGAAUGUGGAUUGGUUCAUUCGGUUGAUAAUAUUUGUGUGAAAUUUCGGGAGGUGAACUUAGUUGACCAGAGCUUGACAAUUGGCAGAAAAUUGUUUCGAAGUAUCUGUCUGGUGCGAUGGUUUACAUAACUGAGUGGGACAAAUUUGUGGAGCAAUCCAUUCAGUUGUUUCGUGCUGAUCCUGACUCUACACGGUAUGUCAUGAAGUACAGGCAUUGUGAUGGCAAGUUGGUACUUAGGGUCACUGAUAACCGGCAGAAACUAUUUCAGAUGAAUUAGCAGAUGGUUCUGGACUUGCUUAGAAGAUGAGAGAUCUGUGGGGGAAAAAGGAGACAUGGGGAAUUUAUAAAAUAAAUCUGUGUUUGAAUUUCCGAACUGUGGGAAAUUUUAAAUUUCAGAAGUUUAUGAACUGUGUGGGAUUUUAUUUUCAGAAGACUUGUGUUGUAAUAAAGAACUUAAUAUUUUGUUGAUGUUGAAAUUAAAUUUAGAAAAAAAAAAUUAUAUGUAUUUUAUGGAACAUAAAUUGUAACGCCAAAUUCGGGGUGUUACAGGACAAAUUUGUGGAGCAAUCCAUUCAA
Vigna angularis (adzuki bean) is the source of this 923-nucleotide long non-coding RNA. RefSeq lists it as uncharacterized. The transcript has 4 exons. Lineage: Eukaryota; Viridiplantae; Streptophyta; Magnoliopsida; Fabales; Fabaceae. The record is from RefSeq and is a predicted model, not a curated record.